Molecule: long non-coding RNA, 957 nt
Filed under: Brassica napus (rape)
Lineage: Eukaryota; Viridiplantae; Streptophyta; Magnoliopsida; Brassicales; Brassicaceae
Description: long non-coding RNA (BNAP_LNC008009)
Source: RNAcentral
AUACUAAAUUCAAGGGAAAUUACCAUAAAUACCACAUUCAUAGUAUCAUUUUUCAUGUUUAUAUUAACAACUUUUACCCUCACUUUUAAUUAAUGGUAAAAGAUAUUUAUAUCCCUAGGGUUAACUAAUAUAGACUUAGGGUUUAGAGUUGAUGGAUGAGGUAGGGUGUUUGAAAUGUGAAAUUUAGGAUUCUAAUAAUGGCAAUUGUCAAUAAUAGCACAUUUUGAGUUUUUGUCUCAAAAAUGGCACUAGAAAGAGAAAGUCACAAAAAUGACAUUCAUUAAAGGGUAAAAUAUCUCUAAUACCUUUGGUUUAAAAUUAAAUAAACAAACAAAAAUAAUAAAAACAAAUAAAAUAAAAAUGAAAAAAAGAAAUUUUUUUAUAGUUUCAGAUUCGAAAUUUUUAUAAUUUCUUUUUGAAAUUUUUUUUUGAAUUUUUUAUUUUAUUUUUUCUUUCAAAUUUUCUUUUUAUAAUUCAAAAAUACUUUUUGAAACUGUUUUUAAAAUUUUUAUUUUUUAAUUUUUUAGUAUUUAUUUUUAAUUUUAUAAAAUUUUAAACCUUAAUUCCAAAACCCCACCCCUUAACUCUAAACGCUAAGGUUUUGAUUAAUUAACCCAAGGUGUAUAAGUGUAUAUUUACUUCUUUAAUGAAACUUAUUUUUGUGACUUUGAGCUUUGAAUGCUAGUUUGGAAACAAAAACUUGGUUUGGUGCUAUCCUAGUCUAUUUCUUUCUAAUAUAUAUAUAUAUAUAUAUAUAUAUAUAUAUAAAUAAUUAAAAAAAAUAUAAAUUUAAAAAAAUACUUUCAAACAUAAUUUUUUAUUUUUAAAAGUAAUUUUGGAAAAAGAAAAUUUUGAAAAAAAAGUCAAAAUUUUUUUUUUUAUAAAAAGUUCGAAUUUGAACAAAGAUAUAUAGAGAACAAAGAUAUUCGAAUCAAAUUUUAUUUUUUAUUUAAUUAA